AACUCUGCAAAUUGGCCCCGUAAGUUCGCGAUAAGGGGUGCCUCUGGGGGUGUUAAAGCUCCUGGGGGUCACAGUAAAUCGGCUUCAGCGACUGUUUAUCAAAAACACAGGACUCUGCGAACUCGUAAGAGGAUGUAUAGAGUCUGACGCCUGCCCGGUGCCGGUAGGUUAAGGAAGAGGGUUAGCCGCAAGGCGAAGCUCGCGACCGAAGCCCCGGUAAACGGCGGCCGUAACUAUGACGGUCCUAAGGUAGCGAAGUUCCUUGUCGGGUAAGUUCCGACCUGCAUGAAUGGCGUAACGACUGAAGCACUGUCUCAACCAGUGACCCGGUGAAAUUGUAGCCGUGGUGAAGAUGCCACGUUCCCGCAGCGAGACGGAAAGACCCCGUGAACCUUCACUGUAGGCUGAUAUUGGGCUGUGGUAUGUCUUGUGUAGGAUAGGUGGGAGGCGUCGAUCUGGGCACGCAAGUGUUCAGGGAGCCAACCUUGAAAUACCACCCUGGACCUGCUUUAGUUCUAACUCUGAUCCCGUGAAUCCGGGCAGAGGACAGUGUCAGUUGGGCAGUUUGACUGGGGCGGUCUCCUCCGAAAGAGUAACGGAGGAGUCCAAAGGUACCCUCAGCCUGGUUGGCAAUCAGGCUUCGAGCGCAAAGGUAUAAGGGUGCUUAACUGCGAGACUUAUCAGUCGAGCAGAUACGAAAGUAGGGCUUAGUGAUCCGGCGGUGCUGGAUGGAAAGGCCGUCGCUCAUCAGAUAAAAGGUACUCCGGGGAUAACAGGCUUAUCGCUUCCGAGCGUCCAUAGCGGCGAAGCGGUUUGGCACCUCGAUGUCGGCUCAUCACAUCCUGGGGGUGGAGAAGCUCCCAAGAGUUUGGCUGUUCGCCAAUGAAAGUGGUACGUGAGCUGGGUUCAGACCGUCGUGAGACAGGUCGGUCCCUAUCUGCUGUGGGCGCACGAAACUUGCGGAGAAUCUUCCUUAGUACGAGAGGAUUGGGAAGGACGUUCCUCUGGUGUCCCAGUUGUCGCGCUAGCGGCACGGCUGGAUAGCUAAGAACGGAACGGAUAAACGCUGAAAGCAUAUAAGCGUGAAGCCCGCUCCAAGAUAAGGUUUCGUUGGACAAUAGUCCGAAAGUCCCCUGGAAGACGACCAGGUCAAUAGGCCGGAUGUGUACGUGGGGUUAACCCAUUUAGCUAACCGGUACUAACGGACGAACGCUUGACCGC
RNAcentral lists this ribosomal RNA (1221 nucleotides) under metagenome. Its description in RNAcentral is "bacterial LSU rRNA". It matches the Rfam family "Bacterial large subunit ribosomal RNA", at positions 1711 to 2925 of the family's 2925-position model. The record is from RNAcentral.